Molecule: long non-coding RNA, 377 nt
Filed under: Mytilus galloprovincialis (Mediterranean mussel)
Lineage: Eukaryota; Metazoa; Mollusca; Bivalvia; Mytilida; Mytilidae
Source: RNAcentral
CAAAGGAGUAAGUUCAGUAAGGGCCAUAUUUGGCCCCAAUUAUAAAGUUCAUAGUUACAAGACAAUAAAUGUUUUAAGUUGCCUUAAAGACAUGUUAGAAAGUUAAACAGAACUGUUUUUGUCAAAGUUUAAUUCUAACACGUUGAUUUUUACAUCCAAAAAAGAUAAGGGAUUUUGGUGAAAUUUGACAAAAUCAGCUAGAUUUCAACCAAAUAAAGGACCAGGAAACAUAGAGCGCAGGCGUCGACAAGCUUAAGAUUCAAAUAAGACAUGUGAAAUGUCUCAGGGCUCACACUACUUUAGAAUUAUAGGGAGAAGUGACUUCUCUUUUUGAAACUGAUAGGGAGAAGUGGUGAGAUUUGAAAGAGAAGUGCUCA